CUCUACUCUUUUGAAUGUUAAGGUCAGAAGAACACAGAGCUAACCUGUUGAUAAAAUAGAAUAAAUAUCUUUAUUUGAACACUUUAAACAGUGGACAACCUGUACAUGGAGAGUAAACCAGGAGGGGAACAUAUGGGCUUUUUGUAAAUAUUUUGGAAAGAAGCACAGACACCCUUUGCCUCACAAUGUCAGGAACUGCAAGGGGAAAACAACCAGAAGCAAGAAGGAGGCCCCGCUACCUACUGUAAUGCCAUGGCAGGCUGGCAAGGAAAUUAAGGUCAAGGCAGCAGAAACUGAGAGCUCCAGCAACUCUGCACACAGCAGGCAGCGCUACAUCAGCCCAAACAUAGAUUUCCUUUCUAGAAUGACAAAACAUUGGAAUGGUGGCAAACAGAAACCUGGGCAGAACUGUUAUACAUGUCAUGGUAUCUUGAGCAAUGAAUUCUUUCUGUUAAUAUUAACUGCAAGGUGCGGCUGAAAAACAAACCAUUCCAAGGUAUCCUUCUUAUUUUGUAUUGGGAAGGAUUUACUGGUAAAGCAUUACUAAACACUGAAAAUGAAAAAGCAGAAGCCUUGGAGCCCUGAAAACUUUUUUUCUUUCGCUUGGAGAUGAAAGAAGUAAGCACCAUUGAAAAUCAAGCUCAAGAUAUGCAAAUACAGACAAGAAAAGUGAAAGAACAUUAAAAGGAGAAAGGAAGAAGUGUAAUCCUGUGUGAUGUGGUAAGAUGUAGUUCUCAUUGUUUUGUUGUCAAGAUGAAAACCAAACCAUAUACCCUGGCUCCUUGAUCCGUUUACCACUUUAAGCAAACCAUACAAUUGCCUUGAGAAUCCUUCUCCAAGUAGGGCUCCAGGAACAGUGAUCAAUGAAGGCAAUGGAUAUUACUCUCAUUGGUAAGCAGAAAAUACAUGUUAAUGUGCCUGUUACAAGGCUCUGUUGGGUCAGAGUAAUUUUGACAGGUUGAACUGUGGAUAAAAUUCUCCAUUUGCAAGGAAAUCUCAUAG
This is a long non-coding RNA of Anas platyrhynchos (mallard), 1002 nucleotides long. RefSeq lists it as uncharacterized. NCBI's taxonomy places the organism in Eukaryota, Metazoa, Chordata, Aves, Anseriformes, Anatidae. The record is from RefSeq and is a predicted model, not a curated record.